UUGCAGUUAAAAAGCUCGUAGUUGGAUUUCUGGCGGGAGCGACCGGUCCGCCCCUCACGGGGUGUGUACUGAGUCGCCUUCGGCCAUCCUUGCGGAAAGCGGCUCGCGCAUUAAGUUGUGCGGGUCGGGCUCCGCAUCGUUUACUGUGAAAAAAUUAGAGUGUUUAAAGCAGGCGUUUGCUGUGAAUACAUUAGCAUGGAAUAAUAAGAUAGGACUUUGGUGCUAUUUUGUUGGUUUGUACACCGAGGUAAUGAUUAAUAGGGACAGUUGGGGGUAUUCGUAUUUAAUUGUCAGAGGUGAAAUUCUUGGAUUUAUGAAAGACGAACUACUGCGAAAGCAUUUACCAAGGAUGUUUUCAUUAAUCAAGAACGAAAGUUAGGGGAUCGAAGAUGAUUAGAUUCCAUCGUAGUCUUAACCCAUAAACUAUGCCCGACUUGGGAUCGGCGGACGUUAACUUUAUGACUCGUCGCCC
This 472-nucleotide ribosomal RNA is filed under the name uncultured marine eukaryote. Its description in RNAcentral is "bacterial SSU rRNA". It matches the Rfam family "Eukaryotic small subunit ribosomal RNA", at positions 613 to 1085 of the family's 1831-position model. The record is from RNAcentral.